This is a long non-coding RNA of Sitophilus oryzae (rice weevil), 173 nucleotides long. RefSeq lists it as uncharacterized. The transcript has 2 exons. The record is from RefSeq and is a predicted model, not a curated record. NCBI's taxonomy places the organism in Eukaryota, Metazoa, Arthropoda, Insecta, Coleoptera, Curculionidae.
CGAAAACCUAAUUUACAAAGAUCCAUCUGUCAAACUUCAACGCCGGUGUCACACGAUCAGCUGACAAACAAUUGAAACGUCAGUCUGUAAAUCGUAAUAUAAACAAGAUGAAAUUUAGGGAAAAAUCAACUAUAAUCAGACCCAACAUUCCCACUUGUUGCGUUGAAAACAGA